RNAcentral lists this long non-coding RNA (1035 nucleotides) under Fragaria vesca (wild strawberry). Its description in RNAcentral is "long non-coding RNA (FVES_LNC004496)". The record is from RNAcentral. Lineage: Eukaryota; Viridiplantae; Streptophyta; Magnoliopsida; Rosales; Rosaceae.
GGUAGGACGACAAUCAUUAGUACAUGAAUUUCCCUUGGUGGCUGGAUUGGAGGCUUUGGCAGCGAUCUUCAUUUGCAGAUGCAGCAGCCUGCUGGGAGUACUCAUCUUCUCUUCUACAAUCACAGUAAUCGAUCGGAUUAGUGUUUUGAUUUACAGGAUUAUUAUCCUGCAAAAAUUGAAAUGAAAAGAGGAAAGGAAAAAGAAGUACUGACUGAUGAACUUUGGAAGUUUGGAGACUCUGGCAGAAGCCAUUUCGGAUGAGAAGAGCAACAACAUUAGGAAUAACGAGGGAAUCAAGUAAGAUGAAGCGCAUGCCUUCUUGAGAACCAUCUUGUCGAAAUGAACAGAAUAUGGGUCCUGGAUUUUCACCCUUUUUAUAGCUAAGUCCAUCGUUACUUCGCUUUAUAUAGAAUCAUGUUAUGUCAAUAACACAUGCUAGGAUGUUCACUAGCUCAAGGGAUCAUUUCAAGAUCUUUGUAUUUUUGCCUCUUUUAUUUUCCAGUUCAUUCAAACACUCAAGCUCUUGGAAAAUCAACGCACAUAAUUUGGUUUCCCAUCUGAUAUAUACAACCCGCGCAAAGAUGCUUUGUUUCAACAACAUGAAAUUCUGAAAUGGCUGCUCAUAGGGCAUGUUGCUUAGCCCCCAUGCAUCUUCAUCGUUUGGCAAGUCAUGAUCUUCAAUUGGCCAAUUGCAUUUACGGAGAUGGAGAUGGUAUGAGAAGAGAUCAGCCUUGUCACCCACUACCACGUCGUAGUGCAUGAUUAGCCACAAAUACACAAAAAAUUGGGUUAGGUAACAAACACCUUUCCCUAUAUUUGGACAAUUUGGUUUGGGACUACCCCCCACCCACCCCAACCUUCAAAUCCUGGUGCCGCCAUGAAUCCUGGUCAAUACAAUCGGCUUUUGAGAGAGGAUGUGUAUCAAUGAUGAUCUCUAUUGUAUCAAGCUCAGGCUGUUGAGAGAAGUUUUGAGGAUAGUUUGUGAUGUACAAUGUCUUGGGGAAUUCUUCUCAUCUGUUUUGUUGCCGGAUUUUC